Wyeomyia smithii (pitcher-plant mosquito) is the source of this 1794-nucleotide long non-coding RNA. RefSeq lists it as uncharacterized. The record is from RefSeq and is a predicted model, not a curated record. The transcript has 4 exons. Lineage: Eukaryota; Metazoa; Arthropoda; Insecta; Diptera; Culicidae.
AGCGCUCACGAAAUUGCUGCGCACGCAGAAGUUAACAAAGAAUGACCGUGAAGGUGACCUAGGAUGGUGUCUGGAAGCAGGAACUCCACUUUAGUUCGGACAGUCCGCGACCACUUUCCUUAUACGGAAAGACCAGGUUUCCCAGCCGAGCGAACAAAGAAAAAAGACCAAUUUGUGAACACUACACUAUAUGUUUACAGAAUGAUUACAAGGAUUUUGUGCUAAUUUACUAGAGGAAUGUAAAUUUUGAUGUGAAACAGCAGUGCGACUGAUAAUGCUAUGCAAAACAAAUAAACGCUCAGAGAUGCCAGAUGUUUUUGAAAAAUGUCUGUAACUGCUCGAAAAACCGGGAAAAUGUGCUCGAAAUCUGAAAAAAAUGUAUCCGUGAUCCGAAAAAUUUUCGCUCGCGCAAGCAAAAGUCUGUACAAAUCUGCACACAUUUAAGAAAAUCUGCGCAAACAUUUAUGUUAUCUCAGGAAACAAAUUUAAAAAAAUAGACUUUCUGAAGCAUAGGAAUUCUCAAGCUGGAACCAACAGAAGUUAUGGGGAAACUAGGCCUUCGAAGUUCGUUUAGCGGUAGGGCUCAGAAGCUUCGGUUUUUCGAAAAAUGUCCUCAAUGGUAAAAAUAAAUUAAAGCUGAGAGAGUUUCCCAGCUGAAAAAUAUAUAAAUAUUUUUUUUUAACCACAAAAGAUCAAAAUAAUGGUCGCAGUGGUCCAAAUCUUACAAAAAAAUAACACUAGAUUUUAACGUUUAUUGCAUCUCUAAGGAAUUUGGCAUCACCUUUUUUUUUGUUAUCGAACAUUUUUUUAUUGGUAAAAAAGUAUAAUUUUACCCGCACGACUUCCCGAAGUCCGAUUGUGCUGAAAUUUAGAAUAGUGACUUCUUUCGAGAAGACGAAACUGAGCCGUACCUCUAAAUCUCUGAACGAAAUUCAGAGGUCUUUUUCCCAUAUAUGUCACCGACACAUUUUUUUGUUGAGGUUUUAACCGGCGGUCAUUCACCAGUCAAUGAAAACUAUGUUAUAUUGCAUACUGUUUAAGCAACAUCAAAUAAUGGAUGACAACUAGUUUAUUCGUAGAACAUUCUGAUUGCAAAUCAUAUCAAUGCGGCUCUACUGCAUAGUCGAGGGCAAGGAAUCAGGGCGGCUUUGAAUCAAUGCUAUUCAAUUUCAAUUGAAGUAAAUUUAGAGUGCAUACGCUUUGACAAACAAGUUUAUGAGUCGCAUUUUUAUCGGUGCUGUCUUACACGAUAAUUUGCGAGGAUGUCUGAGAAUUCUGGUGACUCUGAGCAGAAAAGGUGUCAAAAGCCAAGCCGGAAUUGAAUGUUUGUCAGCCGAGGAACAAAUUGCAGCGCCACUGGUUAGAUGGAUUUCGGAUCAAUCAACAUCCCUUCCAGAACAACUAGCCAAAUACGUCGCAUGGAAUAUGAAUUCGCCCGUAGAUCCACAUUUAAUAACUGAUGGUACAAACUUUUACUUAUAUGUUGAGGAGGGAUAGUGAAGUGCGGAACUUCAUCACUUCAUGCUAUGAACAUCCUCUUCAAAUGUUUUUGCGUUUUUAAGUUAAAAGUUCCACCUUCUUUAAAAAGAGUUGUUGAGUUUUUUGAAAUUAUCACAUAUAAAACUAAGUCUAAUAGUACAACACAAAGUGUAAACAGACUAGUAGCUAUGUUUAGAGAAUCAAUUGUUGCAGAGAAUUGCGAUUCUGACAAUUGAUGAUAGUAGUUAAGUAAUCCUGUAUUCGUUAAUAAGCCUUUUUCAUAUAUUUGCAAAUAACUAAAAAUAAUUGAUUUCA